GAUGAACGCUGGCGGCGUGCCUAAUACAUGCAAGUCGGACGAAACUUCUUUAUCACCGAGUGCUUGCACUCACCGAUAAAGAGUUGAGUGGCGAACGGGUGAGUAACACGUGGGCAACCUGCCCAAAAGAGGGGGAUAACACUUGGAAACAGGUGCUAAUACCGCAUAACCAUAGUUACCGCAUGGUAACUAUGUAAAAGGUGGCUAUACUACCGCUUUUGGAUGGGCCCGCGGCGCAUUAGCUAGUUGGUAGGGUAAAGGCUUACCAAGGCAAUGAUGCGUAGCCGAAUUGAGAGGUUGAUCGGCCACAUUGGGACUGAGACACGGCCCAAACUCCUACGGGAGGCAGCAGUAGGGAAUCUUCCACAAUGGGCGAAAGCCUGAUGGAGCAACGCCGCGUGGGUGAAGAAGGUCUUCGGAUCGUAAAACCCUGUUGUUAGAGAAGAAAGUGCGUGAGAGUAACUGUUCACGUUUCGACGGUAUCUAACCAGAAAGCCACGGCUAACUACGUG
RNAcentral lists this ribosomal RNA (512 nucleotides) under uncultured bacterium. RNAcentral describes it as "partial 16S ribosomal RNA". It matches the Rfam family "Bacterial small subunit ribosomal RNA", at positions 28 to 507 of the family's 1533-position model. The record is from RNAcentral.